Molecule: long non-coding RNA, 1442 nt
Filed under: Homo sapiens (human)
Lineage: Eukaryota; Metazoa; Chordata; Mammalia; Primates; Hominidae
Description: HSALNT0341491
Source: RNAcentral
CCAAGCUGAGCAACUAGCGACCUCCUUCAGCACCCACUGGGAAAGAAAUCAUUAAUGCCAAACACAAAGAAACUCCAAUUUGCAGUUCCUUUGCAGCCAUUCCCAGCAUUGGGAUAAUGAAUGUGUUUCACACACAGUUGUAGGAGGGAGACCAUGAGAGACACACAGCAUUCCUGCUUUUCAAGAGGAAAAUUGAGUGUGCUCUGUCCCAGAACUGUCCUGGAUGAAACACCUUCUCAUCUUUGCCCUGCAGUGACUCCGGGCCUGAGAGUCCCUGGGCCCCAGCCUAUUCUUGGGGGCUGGAACCCUUGUGCUGAGAAUGCUGACCAGGAAGCCAAAAGUUAUGAGUUUGUCAUCUUGAUACCCUGAAGGAGUGCGUGUGUGUGUUUGAAUGAGUAUCUGCCUCACGCUCAUUGUCCAUCCAUCCAUCCAUCCAUCCAACCGUCCAUCCAUCUGUCCAUCCAUCCAUCCAUCCAUCCAUUAAUGGAUGGAUCCAUUAAUGAUCCAUUCAAUCAUUAAUCAAUAAACUUAUACUGGGCUCCUAACAUACAUGACUUCCACACUUGUUAUCUUCUGACCUUUUCAACCUUGUGAGUUCAGGCCUCUUAUCCCAUCUGACUACCAGUGCCACUGAGGCUUAAUGGGGCUAAGAGCUUCCAGGGUCAUACAGUGACAUCAUGUAGGGUUGGGAUUAGAACCUAGAUAUUCUGCCUCAAAGUUGACUGUUCUAUCUAGCAUAAUAACCGUUAUCAUUAUGUCCUGUUUCUGCUUCAUGUCAGAGCCUGAACUAGGGGUUUUAUGCAUAUCUUAUUUAAUGCCCCCUGCUCUGGUUUGAAUGUGCGUUGCCUCCAAAAUUCAUGUUGAAACUGAACCUCCAUUGUGGUGGUAUUGGGAGAUGGGGCCUUUUUGGGACGUGAUGAAGUCAUGAGGGCUCUCACUCUCAUGAGAGGAUUAAUGACCUUUACUUCUUUUAUUCUUCUGCUCUUCUGCCAUGUGAGGACUCAGCAUUUGUCCUCUUUCCAUCCCUUCCUCCAUGUGAGGACAUCUGGAUGGCACCAUCUAUGAGCAAUGGGCCUCCUCCAGACACCAAACCAACUGCUGCCUUGAUGUUGGACUUCCCAGCCUCUAAAACUGUGAGAAAUAAUUUUUUUUUCUUUAUGAAUUGCCUAGUCUAUGGUCUUUUGUUAUAUCAGUUGAUAUAGUUUGGAUAUUUGUCCCCUCCAAAUCUCAGGUGAAAAUGUGAUCCCCAAUGUUGGAGGUAAGGUCUGGUGGGAGGUGUUCGGGUCAUGAAGUUGGAUCCCUUAUGAAUGCCUUGGUGCCAUUUUCUCAGGAGUGAAUGAGUUCUCACUCUUAAUUCCCAUGAUAACUGAUUCUUAAAAGGACUCUGGCACUUCCCUCCUAUCUCUCUUGCUCCAUUUCUCAUCAUGUGAUAUGCCGGCCCC